RNAcentral lists this ribosomal RNA (551 nucleotides) under uncultured bacterium. RNAcentral's name for it is "bacterial SSU rRNA". It matches the Rfam family "Bacterial small subunit ribosomal RNA", at positions 355 to 896 of the family's 1533-position model. The record is from RNAcentral.
UGGGGAAUAUUGCGCAAUGGGCGAAAGCCUGACGCAGCGACGCCGCGUGGGUGAUGAAGGCCUUCGGGUCGUAAAACCCUGUCGGGUGGAACGAAUCUCCUCUUCUCUAAUACAGGAGAGGAUUGACGGUACCACCGAAGGAAGCCCCGGCUAACUACGUGCCAGCAGCCGCGGUAAUACGUAGGGGGCGAGCGUUGUUCGGAUUUACUGGGCGUAAAGAGCGCGUAGGUGGUUCGAUGAGUCGGAUGUGAAAUCCCUCGGCUCAACCGAGGACCCGCGUCCGAUACUGUCGAACUUGAGUGCAGGAGAGGAGAGCGGAAUUCCCAGUGUAGCGGUGAAAUGCGUAGAUAUUGGGAGGAACACCGGUGGCGAAGGCGGCUCUCUGGACUGUCACUGACACUGAGGCGCGAAAGCUAGGGGAGCAAACGGGAUUAGAUACCCCGGUAGUCCUAGCCGUAAACGAUGGGCACUAGGUGUGGGAGGUAUCGACCCCUUCCGUGCCGCAGCUAACGCAUUAAGUGCCCCGCCUGGGGAGUACGGCCGCAAGGUUG